GGGGGUGCUAUACAUGCAGUCGAGCGAAUGGAUUAAGAGCUUGCUCUUAUGAAGUUAGCGGCGGACGGGUGAGUAACACGUGGGUAACCUGCCCAUAAGACUGGGAUAACUCCGGGAAACCGGGGCUAAUACCGGAUAACAUUUUGAACCGCAUGGUUCGAAAUUGAAAGGCGGCUUCGGCUGUCACUUAUGGAUGGACCCGCGUCGCAUUAGCUAGUUGGUGAGGUAACGGCUCACCAAGGCAACGAUGCGUAGCCGACCUGAGAGGGUGAUCGGCCACACUGGGACUGAGACACGGCCCAGACUCCUACGGGAGGCAGCAGUAGGGAAUCUUCCGCAAUGGACGAAAGUCUGACGGAGCAACGCCGCGUGAGUGAUGAAGGCUUUCGGGUCGUAAAACUCUGUUGUUAGGGAAGAACAAGUGCUAGUUGAAUAAGCUGGCACCUUGACGGUACCUAACCAGAAAGCCACGGCUAACUACGUGCCAGCAGCCGCGGUAAUACGUAGGUGGCAAGCGUUAUCCGGAAUUAUUGGGCGUAAAGCGCGCGCAGGUGGUUUCUUAAGUCUGAUGUGAAAGCCCACGGCUCAACCGUGGAGGGUCAUUGGAAACUGGGAGACUUGAGUGCAGAAGAGGAAAGUGGAAUUCCAUGUGUAGCGGUGAAAUGCGUAGAGAUAUGGAGGAACACCAGUGGCGAAGGCGACUUUCUGGUCUGUAACUGACACUGAGGCGCGAAAGCGUGGGGAGCAAACAGGAUUA
RNAcentral lists this ribosomal RNA (757 nucleotides) under Bacillus cereus. RNAcentral describes it as "bacterial SSU rRNA". It matches the Rfam family "Bacterial small subunit ribosomal RNA", at positions 41 to 780 of the family's 1533-position model. Lineage: Bacteria; Bacillati; Bacillota; Bacilli; Caryophanales; Bacillaceae. The record is from RNAcentral.